ACUGUGCUCCUGAUGACCCGGCAGCCGCCGCCCUGCAACCGCUCCCCGGGACCCGUCAGCGCUGACACUGAUGACCCGCGGCGGGGGCGCUGGGCGCGGGGUGCGCAGGCCACUGGCCGCGGGCCCUCGGACCCGCUCCUGCCGCCGGCUUCCGCUGCUUCCGCGGUAAUGACACUCGGCGGAGCGGCCGCCAUCUCUUCUGUGCUGUGGACACUGCCAGAAUUUGUCAAAGGUCCUAGGAAGAAAAGGCCCUUUCGCCCCUCACCUCAGUGAACAGAUGGUGUGUUUGGACUGUUCGCAUUCGCUCCUCAUAGGUGGGAUCCUGGAGGAAUUUAAGGGGUGCUCCGUUCCCUGGGGAUGGGACAGCAGCUCGCCUUUUUACUAAUAGCUAUAAGGGACUGUCAGACAUUUACCUGACUAGACCUUCACCUCAGAGCUCAGAAGGGGAACAGCUCCAGAACUAAAAGAGAGAGCCUCUGGCAGACCCCAAAAGACAGCAUGUGGAGUGAAGCUGGGCUUCCCUGCCCAAUCACUAGGAUCAUUUAUUGCACAAAUACCUGUAUUUUAAGCUGCAGAUUAUUGUGAAUUUUUGUAUUUUCUUCAUUUCCAUUUAGCUUUUUUUCAAUUUUAGAAUAACCUUUCUCUAGAUAACUCGAGGAAGCGGGAGACAGAAUUUCCUUUGUUUCUGUCUUGAGCCCAAAGGGACAAUUGAGUGUCAGAUAUGACAGGGAUAAAGGGAGAAACUCAGAAAGAAUGCUUUUGUUUUGUUUUGUUUUGUUUUGUUUUGAGAUGGAGUCUUGCUCUUGUCACCCAGGCUGGAGUGCAGUGGCAUGAUCUUGGCUCACUGCAAACUCCACCUCCUGGGUUCAAGCGAUUCUCCUCCUCAGCCUCCCAAGUAGAUGGGCUUACAAGCACGCGCCAUCACGCCCGGCUAAUUUUGUAUUUUUAGUAGAGAUGUGGUUUCACCAUAUUGGUCAGUCCGGUCUUGAACUCCUGA
Molecule: long non-coding RNA, 997 nt
Filed under: Pongo abelii (Sumatran orangutan)
Lineage: Eukaryota; Metazoa; Chordata; Mammalia; Primates; Hominidae
Description: lincRNA
Source: RNAcentral